AAAAAAAAAAAAAAAAAUCACCGCGCUUAAAUAUAAGUGAAAAAUGGAAAUAAUAGGCAAAAUAGAUUCAUUUUAUUGUGUAGUGCCCAAGUAACGAUACUUGGUGCCCAAGUCACGUGACUUGGUGCCCAAGCACGUUACUUGGUGCCCAAGUAGUUCAAAGAAGUAUACAAAACAUUGUGUGAGAUUUUGGACAAGAGGGAGUGCUCAUGACAACUAGGGGUAAUAAUGUUAGUAGCUCAUUAUGAAGUUAAGUUAAACAAGAAAACACUACUUUGAUUAUAUAUAUAUUGCAAGUUAGAGUAAGAGUUUAUUUACUAAGGAAGGGGAAUUAACAAGGAAGUGGUAGAAGAUUGAAGAACUCACAAGGAAAGGAUAGAAGAUUAGAGCACUAGCAAGGAAUUAGCAAGAAAAGGGGUAAAAUAUUGAAGAAGUAGCAAGGAAGGGUAAAAGAUUCGUAUAGUAUUCAAGAAAAUCAGCUAAAUACAACUCAUCCAUAACAGUCCUAUUUAAGGUAAAUACUCUUUACCCUCCCUGAUUUAUAGUGGUGCAUUUAUGGUAAAGGAGUUGAUGGUGAAUAUCAGUUUAAAAAUACUGUUGGUCCCCACUCCAUCACACAAAUUUGUCCACACACAAGCAC
Molecule: long non-coding RNA, 640 nt
Filed under: Daucus carota (carrot)
Lineage: Eukaryota; Viridiplantae; Streptophyta; Magnoliopsida; Apiales; Apiaceae
Description: long non-coding RNA (DCAR_LNC007258)
Source: RNAcentral